This is a non-coding RNA of Oryzias melastigma (Indian medaka), 405 nucleotides long. The record is from the annotation of a RefSeq genome assembly. Lineage: Eukaryota; Metazoa; Chordata; Actinopteri; Beloniformes; Adrianichthyidae.
AUGGCUGAUGGUCCAGACAUGAGGAAGGAGUUUGCAUCAGUCGUGUGGAUGCAGCUCAGCAGCAUGUUUGCAGCAGCGGUUUGUGUCUCAGUUCUUAUCCGGUCCGCUCUCUCGGUUUCCAUCCUCCAGUCUGAGGAUCUGUUCUCCCAGCCUGGAGUCUCCGCGGCCUUGCUGUGUCAAACGGGUCCGGGCUUCAGCAUGAGCAGCUACAAUAUGCUCUGGUACCGACAGAACCGAGCCGGAGCUCAAAUCCAUCUGCUGCUGACCGAAUACGAACAAACGGUGGACCACUUCAGGGCGUCCAUCGAUGGAUCCAAGAACAACUUCACGCUUCAAAUAACGAAUGUUUCUGUGGACGACAGCAGCAAAUACUUCUGUGCUGCUCGUCACAGUGAUGCAGUCUGA